UGGGGAAUUUUGGACAAUGGGCGAAAGCCUGAUCCGGCAAUGCCGCGUGUGUGAAGAAGGCCUUCGGGUUGUAAAGCACUUUUGUCCGGAAAGAAAUCCUUGGCUCUAAUACAGUCGGGGGAUGACGGUACCGGAAGAAUAAGCACCGGCUAACUACGUGCCAGCAGCCGCGGUAAUACGUAGGGUGCAAGCGUUAAUCGGAAUUACUGGGCGUAAAGCGUGCGCAGGCGGUUUGCUAAGACCGAUGUGAAAUCCCCGGGCUCAACCUGGGAACUGCAUUGGUGACUGGCAGGCUAGAGUAUGGCAGAGGGGGGUAGAAUUCCACGUGUAGCAGUGAAAUGCGUAGAGAUGUGGAGGAAUACCGAUGGCGAAGGCAGCCCCCUGGGCCAAUACUGACGCUCAUGCACGAAAGCGUGGGGAGCAAACAGGAUUAGAUACCCUGGUAGUCCACGCCCUAAAACGAUGUCAACUAGUUGUUGGGGGAUUCAUUUCCUUAGUAACGUAGCUAACGCGUGAAGUUGACCGCCUGGGGAGUACGGUCGCAAGAUUAAAACUCAAAGGAAUUGACGGGGUCAUAGCUGUUUCCU
This 587-nucleotide ribosomal RNA is filed under the name uncultured bacterium. RNAcentral's name for it is "partial 16S ribosomal RNA". It matches the Rfam family "Bacterial small subunit ribosomal RNA", at positions 355 to 1375 of the family's 1533-position model. The record is from RNAcentral.